ACUCGCUCUUUUUCCAUUACCACGUAAAUAAGCAACAAUAUCCGCAUAAAUUGUGUUUGUGCUUAGGCCGUUAGACAUACGACUCCUACCUUGGGAAGAAAGCUGUAGUCAAACACUACCUGAGAAAUCAAACUGUAGCCCACACUACCUUGAAGAGCAGAACUGGCUUAUAACCGCCGACAGUAUCCUGGGUCCAACUACUGAUACAUCAGAAGAAUGAGUUCUACAAGAUAGCCCUAGACUUCCCACAACUACCGACAGCAACAAGUUCUACAGAGAUUGAAACCCUCCCUUGAGAACUAUGUGACUCCUACAGGAAGAUUUGAAGCUGAGUACUAUUGUUUGAUAAUUUUUAUACCGGUAACCAGCCGGGCCUCUGUCACAGUUUUGGAAAAUUAAUCUUGUUGCCUGUACAUAAUAAUAUAAUGAUUUUUGUUAAUUUUUUUUAUUUGAAUAAAUAUAGUGUAUACAGCAU
Long non-coding RNA from Diabrotica virgifera virgifera (western corn rootworm), 475 nucleotides. RefSeq lists it as uncharacterized. NCBI's taxonomy places the organism in Eukaryota, Metazoa, Arthropoda, Insecta, Coleoptera, Chrysomelidae. The transcript has 2 exons. The record is from RefSeq and is a predicted model, not a curated record.